RNAcentral lists this unclassified non-coding RNA (24 nucleotides) under Mus musculus (house mouse). RNAcentral's name for it is "oocyte_clustered_small_RNA6651". Lineage: Eukaryota; Metazoa; Chordata; Mammalia; Rodentia; Muridae. The record is from RNAcentral.
AACCAAGUCCAGCUGCAGCUAAGG